Molecule: long non-coding RNA, 2092 nt
Organism: Saccostrea cuccullata (small rock oyster)
Lineage: Eukaryota; Metazoa; Mollusca; Bivalvia; Ostreida; Ostreidae
Exons: 7
Source: RefSeq, a predicted model, not a curated record
UGUGAUGUAUAUUCAAUAUCUUGUGAUGUAUAUUCGAAAUCUUGUGUUGUAUAUUCUAUAAUCUUGUGAUGUAUGUUCGAAAUCUUGUGAUGUAUAUUCGAAAUCUUGUGAUGUAUGUUUGAUAAUCUUAUGAUGUAUAUUCGAAAUCUUGUGAUGUAUGUUCGAUAAUCUUGUGAUGUAUAUUCGAAAUCUUGUGAUGUGUGUUCUACAAUUCAGUGAUGCGUGCAAUAAAAUUGCAUGACGCAACAGAAAAGUAAGGACAAUUUUCAUUGGUUAGAAAUAACGAAAGUAGCUGAAGCGUCGGGAAAACCAUGCAGGUGAGAAAAAACACAUCAGUUUGUUUAUUGCAACACUAAUUACGAGAUGCACGAGUGUUGUUCCUGGUGACAUGAUGGAGAUAUUUCGGCCUGCUAGGGAAAAAACUCAGUAUUAAAACGUAGAUGUAUUGACAAAAUUUGUAGAUGAGCUGAUCGCCAACCAGGAGAUCAGAAUGAUCGCAUCUGCUCCUGCCACUUUAAGGAUGGUAAGAAGGAGGGGGACCCUGCAUAUUUUGCAUGGAAUGAAGGAAAGGCCAUGGAUUUCUCCGAUCCUGAAUGUACAAAAAGGAGGAAAAAACUCAAAAGUGAGGAGUCCCUGUCAUCUUCACAGAUGGACCAGUUGCAGAUUCCACAAGCACCAAAUGUCAAUAUCAAGAAAAAUUGAUAUCAGAGCACAACUACUCAGCAUCCUGCACAUUUAACUGUACUCAAGAAAUGCAGCGCCUCUCAACAGAAAUACAACUGGAAAAGGAAUUGCUUGCCCUAAAAAUAGAGUCUAGUAAAAGGAAGCCAAUAUCAAUCCACGAUAUUAAAUACAUGUACAACGAAGAGAAGGUCUCUGAUCAGCAGGGGCAUUUUCUCUAUAUAUUAAGAAGAAAAUGGAGACUCCCUACCCACCCGAUGUAUUUUGUCGGACAGUUUUCUGUACAUUGCAGUCACCAAUAUAUCCAAAUAUCAUCACGGGCCCAGACGUCAUUCACUCCUUUGAAUUGUGCUGGUAGCAGUAAGGUGUCAUCAUUUGAGAUGGUCACAGUAUCCAAUACACUGAAGUCACAGGACUCUAAUUUCAUACAUGUUCACAGGGUCUCUGCCAAAAUCUUUUGAGGAUUUUUCCUCUGCUAGAGCAUCCAUGGAUGCAAAUGAAACAACCCAGGACAUCCCAACACAUAUGGAUAAUCAGGCCAUGGCCUACAGUAUGUACAAAAGUUGCCAUACUUUUAAAGCAGUAACUUGCGUGCCUCCAAAUGGUGCACUUACAUUUUGCUCCAUGCUGUACCCAGGUUCUACUUCUGAUGUAGCUAUUGUACGUCACAGCCAAGUUUUACGAAAGUUCAAAGCUGGAGACCUUAUUUUGGUGGUCAAAGGUUUCACCAUUCAUGACCAGUUGCCCCAGGGUGUCUGCUUAAUUAUAAAAGCUCUUUUAUCGACACGAGGCCAGUUUACCAUACAAGAAGCAGCACUGUGUUACAAGAUUGCUAAAGCACUUAUUCAUGUGGAAAGAGCCAACGAGAGGAUAAAGAAUUACGAGAUUCUCCGUCACAUACCAUCUACUUACAGACCAAUCUCAACAAAAAUAUUUCAACUCUGUUCUUGUCUUGUAAACUUGCAAGCUCCACUUUUGAAAGAAAUUACUUAAAGAUACAUGUACUUAUUAUAAAUUUGCAUUGGCGUGUGACAGUAUACACUAAACAGUGAAGAUAUUCAUACCAAAGUGCAAGGGAUAAGCAAAUUUUGAUUUGUUAUUAAUGUCAAUGGUUAUAUUUGUUAACUUUGUAGUAUGUUGUAAUACAUGUACUUCAGAAAAUGAAAAUCCCUUUUGUUUAGCAUGGAUUUAUUACAAGAAUGGUUGGCAAUUCGAUUCUUCAUUUGACAAUAUAAUUUGGAAGAGGGUUUACUUAUAAUUUUAAAUUUCUAGUUUAAAGUAUAUUUACCUUUAAAGCACAACUCAACAAAUUCAUGUUUUCAACAAUUUAUCUAUUAAGAAAGACAAAAAUGUUACAUUUUCACUUUGAGAAUAACAUCUUCAAUUCAUUAAUAAAAUGAUUCUAAAUUUU